Molecule: long non-coding RNA, 149 nt
Organism: Tupaia belangeri chinensis (Chinese tree shrew)
Lineage: Eukaryota; Metazoa; Chordata; Mammalia; Scandentia; Tupaiidae
Exons: 3
Source: RefSeq, a predicted model, not a curated record
UUUGGUUCCUUCCUGAAGCUGGAGCCAUCCUCAAGCACACUCAUUGUUUUGCCCCUCAGGGAGAAAUGCUGCCUUCCAGGGGGGACGUGCUUUUGCAAUCUGCUGAUUUUGCAUUUAAAAGGGACAGCCUUGCCACACUGAGAUCCUCC